CACCAGACUCCUACGGGAGGCAGCAGUGGGGGAUAUUGCACAAUGGGGGGAACCCUGAUGCAGCGACGCCGCGUGGGUGAAGGAGCGUUUCGGCGCGUAAAGCCCUAUCGGCAGGGAAGAAGGAGGACGGUACCUGACUAAGAAGCCCCGGCUAACUACGUGCCAGCAGCCGCGGGAAUACGUAGGGGGCAAGCGUUAUCCGGAUUUACUGGGUGUAAAGGGAGCGUAGACGGCUAGUCAAGUCAGAAGUGAAAGCCCAGGGCUCAACCUUGGGACUGCUUUUGAAACUGAGUAGCUAGAGUGCAGGAGAGGUAAGCGGAAUUCCUAGUGUAGCGGUGAAAUGCGUAGAUAUUAGGAGGAACACCAGUGGCGAAGGCGGCCUGCUGGACGACAACUGACGGUGAGGCGCGAAAGCGUGGGGAGCAAACAGGAUUAGAUACCCCGGUACUC
This 450-nucleotide ribosomal RNA is filed under the name uncultured bacterium. RNAcentral describes it as "bacterial SSU rRNA". It matches the Rfam family "Bacterial small subunit ribosomal RNA", at positions 329 to 795 of the family's 1533-position model. The record is from RNAcentral.